Molecule: ribosomal RNA, 253 nt
Filed under: uncultured Eubacteriales bacterium
Lineage: Bacteria; Bacillati; Bacillota; Clostridia; Eubacteriales
Description: uncultured Clostridiales bacterium partial 16S ribosomal RNA
Rfam family: Bacterial small subunit ribosomal RNA
Source: RNAcentral
UACGUAGGGGGCAAGCGUUAUCCGGAAUUACUGGGUGUAAAGGGAGCGUAGACGGUGAUGUAAGUCUGGAGUGAAAGGCGGGGGCCCAACCCCCGGACUGCUCUGGAAACUAUGUGACUGGAGUGCAGGAGAGGUGAGCGGAAUUCCUAGUGUAGCGGUGAAAUGCAUAGAUAUUACACAGAACACCGAUUGCGAAGGCAGCUUGCUAGGCCGGAUCUGACACUGAUGCACGAAAGCGUGGGGAUCGAACAGG